Agrilus planipennis (emerald ash borer) is the source of this 429-nucleotide long non-coding RNA. RefSeq lists it as uncharacterized. NCBI's taxonomy places the organism in Eukaryota, Metazoa, Arthropoda, Insecta, Coleoptera, Buprestidae. The transcript is spliced from 3 exons. The record is from RefSeq and is a predicted model, not a curated record.
AGAGCGAAAAAGCGUGCGAUAUAGUGGUGAAUUAUUAAUUAAUUAAUAAUAGUGGUGUUAAAUAGAUUAUUGAGUAGUGAAAAAGGUGUUUGAUUACGUGACAAUAUUACUAACAUUUAUUUCAAAGUGCUUAUAGAAAGACUUAUUACUUCAGUGCAACCGGAGUGCAGUGUCGGAGAAACAAGUUAAUCAUUAAUUUGGAAACUUCGUGUCUGUAACUUUGAAGACGUUGAGUUUUUGUACCGUUAAGUCCGUUUACAAGGAGCUCUCUCUCGUUUCGCACCGGAAAAAGGAAUACUUUCCCGCGGAAUGAAAGGCUUCUGCAAUACCACGUUUUGUUUUAUGGAACAGGGUCAUCCUCAGGCUUUUCUUGUGUGCAUCCAUGAUCCUUCUUACUAGAUCCAUGGAUUAAUCGAAGCAAGGAUUUAG